Spinacia oleracea (spinach) is the source of this 1532-nucleotide long non-coding RNA. RefSeq lists it as uncharacterized. The record is from RefSeq and is a predicted model, not a curated record. NCBI's taxonomy places the organism in Eukaryota, Viridiplantae, Streptophyta, Magnoliopsida, Caryophyllales, Amaranthaceae. The transcript is spliced from 8 exons.
UAAGUUGCAUACUUGCAACUUAGUCUUGAAGUGGGCUCGCUGUGAAUUAUCUUUUCAUCUCUCUCUCUCUCUCUCGCCCAUUCACAGUCCCGACCUCAAACCCUAGCAUCUCCUCUCUCUCUCGCCCCUCUCUCUCUCUCUUCUUCAGAUCUAACAUUGCUAAGGUUGGAAUUCCGCCGUUUUCACUGUUGUUCGAAGGAAUGUUGGCGUUAUCAUAUGAAAUUGAGCGAAUUUGGUGCCGAUUUACACUCUCAUCAAGAAUUCCAGAGUAGGAGAAGCAAAGCCACACGAGUUGAACCACGAUUCUUCCAGUUUGUUGCAUAGUAGGCAAGGUAAUAAUUGGAAACUAGUGUGACACUGAAGGGUACUACUUAUUCUUUUACCUUCACCUCGUCGAUUGCGGAGUUUCUACUGCUUUUGCGUCAAAAGACAUCCUUGGUAAUGUUCUUGGUGGAUUGUCUAUGCAAUUCUCAAAGCCCUUUUCAUUUGGAGAUACAAUCAAGGCUGGAUCAAUAGAAGGUCAAGUGACGGAGAUGGGUUUAACUACAACUUCGUUAUUGAAUGCUGAAACGUUUCCAGUAACAGUUCCAAACUCUAUGUUUUCUAAUCAGGUCAUCGUUAACAAGUCUCGAGCUGGGUGACGUGCUUAUAUCAGUAAAAUUUCAUUGCAGUUCGACAAUUUGGAGAAAGUUCCUCAGAUUUCAACUGACAUAAAGUCAAUGCUAGAGUCAUAUCCCAAAGUUUUUUUGGGACGUGAGGCUCCUUACUGUUAUCUCUCUCAAAUUGAUAGUUCAUAUGCUGAACUGACUCUUGGAUGCAAUCUCAAACAACUGAAAAAAUCUCAAACGAAGGAGAACGAAAAUUACGGAGAAGGAGAACUCGCUGCUCUCUACCACGGCGAGUUUCCGAAUGCCGAUGCUUCCAAUGCCGCUGCUAUCAAGGAUUCUAAAUCUCAGUACCCGGAAGAGGUUGGAUGAACUUGUAGAUGAAGCUGGUGUGCCUCGUUAAAUGCAGGGGAAAUUCGAGCAUGAGAUGGGGAUUCCUAAAGGGCUAAAGGCGGCACUUUUGCCUUGUACUCAUUGCUAUGCCGGCAUGCAAACCUUGGUGUUCUUCAUACCGAUGAGAAGUUAUCUGCAAUAUAUCUAUUGAGGGAUCCGAGCAGACAGCAAGGAUUUCUGCCUUCAAGCUACCAUUUGAAAAGCAUGAAAGAUUUCAUAAAGCGUUGCUGAUCUUUGUGGUUUCCUGCAUCAUUUUGGUAGUCCUGCUUUCUCUCCAACAUCAUGGAACACAUAGGGUUUCUUUCAUGUUUGCACCAAUUGUUUUAGCAUAGCUCCUUUGUAUCAGCAGCAUCGGUGUUUGUAAUAUUAUAAGGUGGUCAUUUUGUGUUUAUUGAUUUAGUCAGGUACUGAGUAUUGUUCAUCGGAUUGUUUUAAUUAGGAUAGAAAUGUUGAUGUAAUAUCUAGAUUGAUUGAAUAUCAACUGUUGGUUUGGCUUAGAAUGUGAUGGUGGCUUGGUGUUUAUUGCUAUAAUCA